This 253-nucleotide ribosomal RNA is filed under the name uncultured bacterium. RNAcentral's name for it is "partial 16S ribosomal RNA". It matches the Rfam family "Bacterial small subunit ribosomal RNA", at positions 524 to 776 of the family's 1533-position model. The record is from RNAcentral.
UACGGAAUGUGCAAACGUUAUUCGGAAUCACUGGGCUUAAAGGGUUCGUAGGUGGCUUGCUAAGUCAGACGUGAAAUCCCUCAGCUUAACUGGGGAACUGCGUCUGAGACUGGUGAGCUUGAGUGCAGGAGAGGAACGCGGAAUUCCAGGUGUAGCGGUGAAAUGCGUAGAUAUCUGGAGGAACACCGGUGGCGAAGGCGGCGUUCUGGACUGCUACUGACACUGAGGAACGAAAGCCAGGGGAGCAAACGGG